RNAcentral lists this ribosomal RNA (396 nucleotides) under uncultured bacterium. RNAcentral's name for it is "bacterial SSU rRNA". It matches the Rfam family "Bacterial small subunit ribosomal RNA", at positions 360 to 773 of the family's 1533-position model. The record is from RNAcentral.
AAUCUUGCACAAUGGGGGCAACCCUGAUGCAGCGACGCCGCGUGAGUGAUGAAGCCCUUCGGGGUGUAAAGCUCUUUCGGCAGGGACGAUAAUGACGGUACCUGAAGAAGAAGCUGCGGCUAACUACGUGCCAGCAGCCGCGGUAAUACGUAGGCAGCGAGCGUUGUUCGGAGUUACUGGGCGUAAAGCGUGCGUAGGCGGUGUUCCAAGUCUGGUGUGAAAUCUCCCGGCUUAACUGGGAGGGUGCGCCGGAAACUGGGAUGCUGGAGUGUGGGAGAGGCAAGCGGAAUUCCUGGUGUAGCGGUGAAAUGCGUAGAUAUCAGGAGGAACACCUGCGGUGUAGACGGCUUGCUGGACCAUAACUGACGCUGAGGCACGAAAGCGUGGGGAGCAAAC